RNAcentral lists this ribosomal RNA (943 nucleotides) under Ephemerocybe subpurpurea. Its description in RNAcentral is "LSU rRNA". It matches the Rfam family "Eukaryotic large subunit ribosomal RNA", at positions 38 to 966 of the family's 3401-position model. Lineage: Eukaryota; Fungi; Basidiomycota; Agaricomycetes; Agaricales; Psathyrellaceae. The record is from RNAcentral.
GCAUAUCAAUAAGCGGAGGAAAAGAAACUAACAAGGAUUCCCCUAGUAACUGCGAGUGAAGCGGGAAAAGCUCAAAUUUAAAAUCUGGUGGCCUUUGGUCAUCCGAGUUGUAAUCUAGAGAAGUGUUACCCGCGUCGGACCGUGUACAAGUCUCCUGGAAUGGAGCGUCAUAGAGGGUGAGAAUCCCGUCUUUGACACGGACUACCGAGGCUUUGUGGUGCGCUCUCAAAGAGUCGAGUUGUUUGGGAAUGCAGCUCAAAAUGGGUGGUAAAUUCCAUCUAAAGCUAAAUAUUGGCGAGAGACCGAUAGCGAACAAGUACCGUGAGGGAAAGAUGAAAAGAACUUUGGAAAGAGAGUUAAACAGUACGUGAAAUUGCUGAAAGGGAAACGCUUGAAGUCAGUCGCGUUGGCCGGAAAUCAGCCUUCCUUUUGGUUGGUGUACUUUCUGGUUGACGGGCCAGCAUCAGUUUUGACCGAUGGAUAAAGUUGUAGGGAAUGUGGCAUCUUCGGGUGUGUUUAUAGCCUUGCUUCGUAUACAUCGGUUGGGACUGAGGAACUCAGCACGCCGAAAGGCCGGGGUUCGCCCACGAUCGUGCUUAGGAUGCUGGCAUAAUGGCUUUAAUCGACCCGUCUUGAAACACGGACCAAGGAGUCUAACAUGCCUGCGAGUGUUUGGGUGGAAAACCCGAGCGCGUAAUGAAAGUGAAAGUCGAGAUCCUUGUCAUGGGGAGCAUCGACGCCCGGACCAGACGUUUUCUGACGGUUCUGCGGUAGAGCAUGUAUGUUGGGACCCGAAAGAUGGUGAACUAUGCCUGAAUAGGGUGAAGCCAGAGGAAACUACUGGUGGAGGCUCGUAGCGAUUCUGACGUGCAAAUCGAUCGUCAAAUUUGGGUAUAGGGGCGAAAGACUAAUCGAACCAUCUAGUAGCUGGUUCCUGCCGAAG